This is a long non-coding RNA of Ochlerotatus camptorhynchus, 425 nucleotides long. RefSeq lists it as uncharacterized. The record is from RefSeq and is a predicted model, not a curated record. Lineage: Eukaryota; Metazoa; Arthropoda; Insecta; Diptera; Culicidae. The transcript is spliced from 2 exons.
CGCAUUCAAAUGAAACAUUUCUCAAGAUUUAUACCGCAAAUCACUUACGUUAGUUAGUCUUAUUUUGAGCAUUGUUCAUGCAACAUGGCGAAAGUUUUAAUUUUAGUGAUAUCCAUCACUCUACUGCUACAAGCAGUGGCAGCAUUUUUCUGCGAUGGAAUUCCGGGUGGAUUAAAGCUCCGUUUCCCGAUCGCAGGCAUUUGUGAUGAAUACAUAGCAUGCCAUCACAAUAUGGAACACGAGUGGAAGUGUCCUCGAGGUCGCUUCUUCAGCCAACGGCAACAAAAAUGUGUCGAUGCGUGCGAUCCAUCCGAAGCGUUGAAUUUGUGUGCUGGUUUGAUCAAUGGGAUAUUGUUGCGGCCUCCAUUGACGGAAUUUCCAUUUAGCUGUAGGCGCCACUACGAGUGUGUGAGCGGAAUGACGAU